AACGCACAUUGCGCCCGCCAGCAUUCUGGCGGGCAUGCCUGUUCGAGCGUCAUUUCAACCCCUCAGGCCCUGGUGCCUGGCGUCGGGGCUCUCCCUCGCGGGAGGCCCCCAGAGACAGUGGCGGACCCGCCGCGGCUCCGAGCGCAGUAGUAAAAUUCUCGCUCAGGAGGCCCGCGGAGGGGAUCACCGGCCGUAAAAAUUAGGUCCCUCGGGACCGACCCCACCAAGGUUGACCUCGGAUCAGGUAGGAAUACCCGCUGAACUUAA
This 267-nucleotide unclassified non-coding RNA is filed under the name uncultured fungus. RNAcentral describes it as "sequence contains ITS2". The record is from RNAcentral. Lineage: Eukaryota; Fungi.